GACGAACGCUGGCGGCGCGCCUAACACAUGCAAGUCGAACGAGCGAGAGAGAGCUUGCUUUCUCGAGCGAGUGGCGAACGGGUGAGUAACGCGUGAGGAACCUGCCUCAAAGAGGGGGACAACAGUUGGAAACGACUGCUAAUACCGCAUAAGCCCACAGGUCGGCAUCGACCAGAGGGAAAAGGAGCAAUCCGCUUUGAGAUGGCCUCGCGUCCGAUUAGCUAGUUGGUGAGGUAAUGGCCCACCAAGGCGACGAUCGGUAGCCGGACUGAGAGGUUGAACGGCCACAUUGGGACUGAGACACGGCCCAGACUCCUACGGGAGGCAGCAGUGGGGAAUAUUGCACAAUGGGGGAAACCCUGAUGCAGCGACGCCGCGUGGAGGAAGAAGGUCUUCGGAUUGUAAACUCCUGU
RNAcentral lists this ribosomal RNA (413 nucleotides) under uncultured bacterium. RNAcentral's name for it is "bacterial SSU rRNA". It matches the Rfam family "Bacterial small subunit ribosomal RNA", at positions 28 to 436 of the family's 1533-position model. The record is from RNAcentral.